AGGGGUGAGGCUUAGUGGCAGAGAGCCUGCUUGGCACGUGGGAGGCCCUGGAUUCAAUUCCCAGCACUGCAA
This is a non-coding RNA of Ictidomys tridecemlineatus (thirteen-lined ground squirrel), 72 nucleotides long. Lineage: Eukaryota; Metazoa; Chordata; Mammalia; Rodentia; Sciuridae. The record is from Rfam.